Molecule: ribosomal RNA, 253 nt
Filed under: uncultured bacterium
Lineage: Bacteria
Description: partial 16S ribosomal RNA
Rfam family: Bacterial small subunit ribosomal RNA
Source: RNAcentral
UACGUAGGGUGCAAGCGUUGUCCGGAAUUAUUGGGCGUAAAGAGCUCGUAGGCGGUCUGUCGCGUCGGCUGUGAAAACCCGGAGCUCAACUCCGGGCCUGCAGUCGAUACGGGCAGACUGGAGUUCGGCAGGGGAGACUGGAAUUCCUGGUGUAGCGGUGAAAUGCGCAGAUAUCAGGAGGAACACCGGUGGCGAAGGCGGUUCUCUGGGCCUGUUCUGACGCUGAGGAGCGAAAGCGUGGGGAGCGAACAGG